AUCUUCAGCCCGGGAGGACUGGACUAGGCUCGGCUGGACGCCGCCCAGCUCCGGGCGCGCCCCGGGCCGGGUUGGGCAGCGCCGGAGGAUAGACGGAAAAGCGCCCUGUGAAACCCUCGUAACCUUGGCCUUGAGGCAGUGCCAUGGCCAUGAGCCCCAACAGGUCCCCAGAGGAGAGCAUUGAGGGAGAUACUGGGAGAACAGAGUGGAAGCCCACGGAAGCUCUGUGAUGUGAGUCUCAGCGUUGGACAUGGGUGGCGAUAAUGAAGCCGACAGCACAGACAACUCGGCCGUCGCCAACACCCUCAGCCAAGACCCCUCGGUGCCAUGUCACAUCAGCUAGCACGUGGAGACCACCAGCAUGCCCACUGCCAGAUGCACCCACAAGUCAAGGGUCAGCAGGGAGCCACCCAGUGAAGCCACUGAAUCGACACUUGUCCCAACUGGUGAGGGACAGACACUGCAGCCAAUGAGAACAGGCAACAGCAAUGAAGACAUAAACGAAAGACAUGACACUGUAAAAAC
Molecule: long non-coding RNA, 525 nt
Organism: Bos taurus (domestic cattle)
Lineage: Eukaryota; Metazoa; Chordata; Mammalia; Artiodactyla; Bovidae
Source: Ensembl